CCUACGGGAGGCAGCAGUGGGGAAUCUUGCGCAAUGGGCGAAAGCCUGACGCAGCGACGCCGCGUGUGGGAAGAAGGCCUUCGGGUUGUAAACCACUUUCAGGGGGGACGAAGCCACUCGGGUGAAUAGCCCAGAGGGUGACGGUACCUUCAGAAGAAGCCCCGGCUAACUACGUGCCAGCAGCCGCGGUAAUACGUAGGGGGCAAGCGUUGUCCGGAUUUAUUGGGCGUAAAGCGCGUGUAGGUGGCUUUACAGGUCCGCUGUGAAAACUCGAGGCUCAACCUCGAGACGUCGGCGGAAACCGUAUGGCUAGAGUCCGGAAGAGGAGAGCGGAAUUCCUGGUGUAGCGGUGAAAUGCGCAGAUAUCAGGAAGAACACCCGUGGCGAAGGCGGCUCUCUGGGACGGUACUGACACUGAGACGCGAAAGCGUGGGGAGCGAACAGGAUUAGAUACCCAGGUAGUCCACGCCGUAAACGAUGGGUGCUAGGUGUGGGGGGUGUCGACUCCCCCUGUGCCGAAGCUAACGCAUAGCACCCGCCGUCGGGAGGACGGCCGCGAGACGUAAACGUACAANAGUAAGUUGUACGGCGUUGAGACGUUGCCGACGGCGACGACGAGGGGAGGAGG
This 628-nucleotide ribosomal RNA is filed under the name uncultured bacterium. RNAcentral's name for it is "bacterial SSU rRNA". The stretch from base 1 to 540 matches the Rfam family "Bacterial small subunit ribosomal RNA", at positions 338 to 873 of the family's 1533-position model. The record is from RNAcentral.